RNAcentral lists this unclassified non-coding RNA (277 nucleotides) under plant metagenome. RNAcentral describes it as "partial contains small subunit ribosomal RNA, internal transcribed spacer 1, and 5.8S ribosomal RNA". The record is from RNAcentral.
CCUUCUUCACCCUUUUUCCUUAGGUGAACCUGCGGAAGGAUCAUUAUUGUAUAACCGAGGUGCGAGGGCUGUCGCUGACCCGAAAGGUCGUGCACGCCCGAGUGCCCUCACACACAUCCAUCUCACCCCUAUGUGCACCACCGCGUGGGUCCCCCUUUGGCUUGUUCGGAGGGGGGCUUACGUUUUCACACAAACUUUGUAUGCAGUGUAGAAUGUAUUUUUUGUUUUUGCGAUCACGCAAUCAAUACAACUUUCAACAACGGAUCUCUUGGCUCUC